This 253-nucleotide ribosomal RNA is filed under the name uncultured bacterium. RNAcentral describes it as "partial 16S ribosomal RNA". It matches the Rfam family "Bacterial small subunit ribosomal RNA", at positions 524 to 776 of the family's 1533-position model. The record is from RNAcentral.
UACAGAGGUCCCGAGCGUUAUUCGGAUUCACUGGGCGUAAAGGGUGUGUAGGAGGUAUGAUAAGUCUGGCGUGAAAUCCCACCGCUCAACGGUGGAACUGCGUUGGAUACUGUUGUGCUAGAGGACUAGAGAGGUAAGCGGAAUUCUUGGUGUAGCGGUGAAAUGCGUAGAUAUCAAGAGGAACACCAGCGGCGAAGGCGGCUUACUGGAUAGCUCCUGACUCUGAAACACGAAAGCCAGGGUAGCAAACGGG